GGGAAUGUGGCUUAGUGGUAGAGUGAUUGCCUAGCAUGCAUAAAGCCUUGGGUUCAAUUCCUCAAUACCA
Molecule: transfer RNA, 70 nt
Filed under: Dipodomys ordii (Ord's kangaroo rat)
Lineage: Eukaryota; Metazoa; Chordata; Mammalia; Rodentia; Heteromyidae
Rfam family: tRNA
About the family: Transfer RNA (tRNA) molecules are approximately 80 nucleotides in length. Their secondary structure includes four short double-helical elements and three loops (D, anti-codon, and T loops).
Source: Rfam by way of RNAcentral